AUUUAUAGCUCAAAAAUUCUUGCUUAUAGUCCAACUAAUUUUUUGCAAUUUUAAUUAUAAUCUAGGUGCAAAUAAAAAUAAGGACUCCUUAGAAUGCUGUAGUUUAGGGAUUGGCUAACAUUUUCUUUAAUGGAUGAAAGAGUAAAUAAUUUAAUUUGUACAGGUCAUGAAUCCUGUUGCAACUACUCAACCCCAGUUUUGUAGUAAAAAAAGGAGCCACAGACAAUGUGCAAAUGAAUAAGCAUCGCUGUGUUCUCUAAAACUUCACUUACAAAAUUAGACAGUGGGCUGGACUUGGCCCUUGGGCUAUAGUUGUCUCACUCCUAUCCCAUUUAUUGAUCCUAUCUCUAUAUUCCCUGGUACCCUGGUACACCUAAUAUGGAUACUUGCCAAGAUAAGGCCAUGAAAAAUAUAAGUGAAUAUGAAUUGCUUGAGUGUAUAUUAGAUUUAUGUGUAUGUAUGUAUCUCACAUGGGUUGGGGGAGGUGAAAAUAGAAUAUAAAAAUGCUCCUAAAACAACUGAAUCUGUAGCUUCUGUCUUUGAAGUUACACUGAGUUGUUAGAGAGUAACAAGAAUCAGCUCUGCACAGGAGGUAUGCAUACCACCUUAAAGUUACCAAUGCAGAGAAUGAAUGCUUAUUUUUAAUCACUGACAAGAAACACCAAAUCUGAUGAUCUACUCUUCCAAAUAUUAGUAUUAUUUGUAGGCAAUUUACAUUUAAUUAGGAAUAAGGAAGGAAGAGGUAAAGUUACUGGAUGGAGCAGCCUUUUAUUGUGUGAAGUGUUCCUCUUUGUUAAGAUGAACUAAUCUCAUUGUCUAAUGUUGAGACAUUAAACGAUGUAGGUAACUGCUUAUCCUGUCCACCUACAUUACCUUCUUUGUGCCACAGAUAAUCUGGCAGGGACUGCACGUUGUUCCUCAGUGUCUACUUACUCUUUCUGCCUUUUGGUAAUAGAACCACCCCCACAUAUUUUAGGUGGCAUAUUUUUACCCCACUACCUUGAUGCCAAGGGGAUGAGUGGCAUUGAUAUGUGCAAGUUAAAGUUGGUCUUUUGGAUAAAUCUCUCUUUCAAAUUUUCAGCUAUAUUAGUUCUUACACUAGUUGUUGUUUGAACCCUCUCCAAAUUCUUUAUUUCUUUUUCUAAAGGUGGAAAAUUAGAGAGGUAUAAAGGAAAAAAUAUUCCCCCGGAUGCUAUAAACUACUAU
Molecule: long non-coding RNA, 1206 nt
Filed under: Papio anubis (olive baboon)
Lineage: Eukaryota; Metazoa; Chordata; Mammalia; Primates; Cercopithecidae
Description: lncRNA (ENSPANG00000048607.1)
Source: RNAcentral